UAGGGAAUCUUCGGCAAUGGGGGGAACCCUGACCGAGCAACGCCGCGUGAGUGAAGAAGGUUUUCGGAUCGUAAAGCUCUGUUGUUAAGGAAGAACGAGUGUGAGAAUGGAAAGUUCAUACUGUGACGGUACUUAACCAGAAAGGGACGGCUAACUACGUGCCAGCAGCCGCGGUAAUACGUAGGUCCCGAGCGUUGUCCGGAUUUAUUGGGCGUAAAGCGAGCGCAGGCGGUUAGAUAAGUCUGAAGUUAAAGGCAGUGGCUCAACCAUUGUAGGCUUUGGAAACUGUUUAACUUGAGUGCAGAAGGGGAGAGUGGAAUUCCAUGUGUAGCGGUGAAAUGCGUAGAUAUAUGGGGGAACACCGGUGGCGAAAGCGGCUCUCUGGUCUGUAACUGACGCUGAGGCUCGAAAGCGUGGGGAGUGAACAGG
Molecule: ribosomal RNA, 429 nt
Filed under: Bacteroidota bacterium
Lineage: Bacteria; Pseudomonadati; Bacteroidota
Description: Bacteroidetes bacterium partial 16S ribosomal RNA
Rfam family: Bacterial small subunit ribosomal RNA
Source: RNAcentral